Impatiens glandulifera is the source of this 503-nucleotide long non-coding RNA. RefSeq lists it as uncharacterized. The transcript is spliced from 2 exons. The record is from RefSeq and is a predicted model, not a curated record. NCBI's taxonomy places the organism in Eukaryota, Viridiplantae, Streptophyta, Magnoliopsida, Ericales, Balsaminaceae.
ACAAUAAUAACAUUUGCUUCUUACAGGUUCUUCCAAGGAAACUAGGGUUUAUAGAAAAGUAUGGCUUGGGCGUUUAGCAAUCUGGCAACAAAGACAAGGAAUAUGGUUGUUGCGGGUGGAUUGACUGGAUUUGUUGUCGGGGUUUAUUACUACACGAUGAGAGCUGUUGGAGACACCGAUGAGCUUCAAGUAGCCAUAGACAAAUUUGAAGAACAGAAACAUAAGACUGAAAACUUGCCAUCUAAGGUAUGAUGAAUGAUGUGUUUCUCUAGACAUGUAAUGAAGAUGACAAUUGAGUUCUUGGAGUUUUAACUGUUGUUGCUAUAUUAAUUAACCUUUAAAAUUAACCACAAUUACAUUGUUUUCAAAUAAGGUCAUUUUGGAAAUUCCAUUUCCUUAUGAGUUCUUGUUUAUCUGUGGUUCCUUUCAAAUGGAUGUAUUUGAAUUUAUUCUCACACAUAUUCAUAAAUUUAUUGAGGGUUUCUCAAUGAGAUUUAGAUCCA